CGCUUGUUUUGUUGUUCUUUGCUUUACUGCACUGCGUGGAUACUGCAUUAAAAAACAAUUUUUUUUUUUGAAGGUCUGUGGCAACCCUGCGUCAAGCAAGUCUGUUGGUGCUAUUUUUCCAACAGCAUUUGCUCACUUCCUGUUUCUGCGUCACAUUUUGGCAAUUCUCGCAAUAUUUCAAACUUGUUCACUAUUAUUACAUUUGAACUGCUGCAAUCUCAUGAUAACACUUGAAUGGAUGAAGAGUUGCUUCUCAUGCACGAGCAAAGAAAGUGGUUUCUUGAGAUGGACUCUACUCCCAGUGAAGACGCUGUGAAGACUGUCGAAAUGACAACAAAGGAUUGACAACCUCAUACGCUUCGGUGAUAAAGCAGCAGACCCCAAAUUUGAAAGAAGUUCUACUGUGGGUAAAAGGUGUCAAACAGGAUCGCAUGCUACAGAGGAAUCGUCUGUGAAAGGAAGAGUCGAUCGGUGUGGCAAACUUCGCAGCUGUCGUAUUUUCAGAAACAGGCACAGCCACCCAGCCUUUAGCCACCAGCACCCUGAGCAGGCAGAAGCCAGCAACACCUAGGCAAGACCCUCCACUUAGGACUCCCUGAAAGCAUCCUUUCCCUGAGGUGCUGGACAAACAACUUAGUCACAUGAACCCAAGCAAGAGCAAAAGGAAAACAACAACAACAACAACAACAACAACAACAAUCGGUCAAUAUCUCAAAGAUGCUGUUUGCUACGUAGGUGAGCAUCCUUCUUCCCGGGGGAGUGGAGAGGAGCUAGUGGGAAAGGAUUCAGGGCUCCGGGACUCCAGCUGUGUCCUCCUUGGAGAUAAAAGUUGACCACCAGCAGUUCUUUCCCUUAGCAAGUAAGGAGAGAGGGAUAAACUUUUUGAAAAACACGUUUAUUUUAAAAUUUUACAUCAUCUUUGGAUAAUUCAUGAUUGGAUCAGGCACGGUGCAGACACUUCUGAGAUCAAGGUCUCCAGACCAACGUGAACAGUUUCUGCGACUGAAGAGCCAGGGGACCUCAUGAUAUAGGAUGGAGCGAUGGCUACUGACGAAGACACGACCCCCUCAAGACGGGGACUUUCCAAACGCAGCGUGCAGUCACCAUUUCUAAAUUAUCUGUCGCAAACAUUAAACAUCUCACCAGACCAACAAUAAUACCCCUAUCUUAUCUGCAGUUUACUAGUUUCCAUAGACAACACAGAAUUAAAUUAAUUUGAUCCCUUAGAUGAAUAAUAACAAUUAAAGCUAGCAUCUACCCAGUGUAGUCUCAUUGUCCACACCAACACCAACCUCCUGCUGAUGGAAUGCCACCUGCCUCUCACUGUUUGUGAUUCAGAGAUUGCAGCAAGCACGUCAAAUCAGAACAUAAAGCAAUGUUUUAUGGGCCCGGGCCCGGGGGCCUGGAGAGGGGAAAGACUCCCCACACAGCAAGAAGCGGCCCAAGUGCGCUGCCUAUCCCCAAGCAGAGAGGUCAGAACUGCAAGCAGGGAGGAAGAGGAGGAGGAGGGGGAGGAGGAGAAGGAGGCGGGGGAGGGGGAUGGGGGGGACACCCUCUGCACGUUCCACUGCCUCAGAUGGUUUCCUGGGCACUCCAGGCAGGUGUCCCAAUAGGAGAGUUAAUUCCCUGAUGAUAGGACCCCCUCUCCGGCCUCCCUCAAAGCAAGGUCUUGCCCAGGUGUGAGCACACAGCAGGUCCUUAGAAAAGGAAGGAAGGAAGGAAGGGAGGGAGGGAGGGAGGAUGGAAGCCACCAUGCGCAGGGAACCUGCUAGGACAGAACCAGGAUAGGUGUUUCAUGUAACCCUUAUAACAGCCCUGUGAGGUAGGCUCAUCACCCCCCCAUUUUAAAGAUGUGGAAACAGAGUCUCGGAGAGAAUUCACCAAUGGUGGCAUGGCUGGUAAACGGGACGGGGGGAGCAUCAAUUUGAAAACCCGGGGCUUCUUCCUCUGGGUUCCUUCUACUCUUCUAUAAACCAAGGGUUUGGCAGCAAGUGAGCCAGCUCCAGCUCCCAGACAGCUGUUCUAGAGCUCGAGCUUGAGGGGCCGUUGAGCACAUAAGGCCAGGAGUCCAAACGCCUGGGUCUAGGAACCCUGGCUCUACAGCAUUACUUUGUAACCCUGAGCGAGCACUCUGCCUUCUCCACAGGGCAGGGCUGGCCUAGCCCAGUAUGCUUCUCCACCAGGGAACGGGGUAGCACAACUACCCAGGAAGCCUGUUGGCAGACCAGGGUGUGAGGGUCUCUGUCUGGAGACUCUGAUGCUGCACCGUUGCUGGAGGGCCAGAGGGCAUGGCCGUCUGAUAUACCUUGUGAGAAUCGGUUGUGAUCUCUAAGGUUCUGACUUCCGAGAGCAACUUUAAAUGCUAGGGAACCACAUCCCCACUCCCUGAGAGACGUCCCGCAAAAGGCCCGGGAAAGUCAAAGAAAUCAUCAGAUGGGGAUACUGUUGUAAAGCAGAAAAUGUUGAAAAAUAAUUUGAGAGAGAGAGAGAAAAAAAAAAACCCCACUGCUUUAAAGGGGAAAACAAGAGGGCAGUCAGCAGUGGGCGCGCGGUGUGCAAAUCCCACUGCAGGGUAGGGUCAGGCCAGGCUGAGCAUGGACAAAUCAGGUUUUUGGCAUCUGGCUUGCCUGGUGUCUGCCAGGGGGCUGCACUCCCUGCCUCAGAUGGGUUGGGGGGGGGG
Panthera uncia (snow leopard) is the source of this 2680-nucleotide long non-coding RNA. RefSeq lists it as uncharacterized. Lineage: Eukaryota; Metazoa; Chordata; Mammalia; Carnivora; Felidae. The record is from RefSeq and is a predicted model, not a curated record. The transcript has 2 exons.